CACGUAGGGCGCAAGCGUUGUCCGGAUUUAUUGGGCGUAAAGAGCGUGUAGGCGGCCAUGUAGGUCUGGUGUGAAAACUCGAGGCUUAACCUCGAGAUGUCAUCGGAAACCAUUUGGCUAGAGUCCGGAAGAGGAGAGUGGAAUUCCUGGUGUAGCGGUGAAAUGCGCAGAUAUCAGGAAGAACACCAAUGGCGAAAGCAGCUCUCUGGGACGGUACUGACGCUGAGACGCGAAAGCGUGGGGAGCGAACAGG
Molecule: ribosomal RNA, 253 nt
Filed under: uncultured bacterium
Lineage: Bacteria
Description: partial 16S ribosomal RNA
Rfam family: Bacterial small subunit ribosomal RNA
Source: RNAcentral